CGAGAACCCAACUCGACGGGGGGAAACUACCGUUCAUUCGCUAAGAAUUUGCUCAAAAUCCGUUCAAGGUUAUCUCCGCAAGUAAGGUCUGAGUAAGAGAUUCAAGUAAGGAAAGUAAGCGAUCAAGGUUGAGCAGCGAAGUGGUGGAGG
Salvia splendens (bonfire salvia) is the source of this 150-nucleotide long non-coding RNA. RefSeq lists it as uncharacterized. The record is from RefSeq and is a predicted model, not a curated record. NCBI's taxonomy places the organism in Eukaryota, Viridiplantae, Streptophyta, Magnoliopsida, Lamiales, Lamiaceae. The transcript is spliced from 3 exons.